UCGAAAUCAAGCGGAACUCGUAUACACAAAUCGGAUUAAGAUUUUCGUGUUCCGUCAGCUCGAGAGAUACUUAGAAAUGAUGAUUUGAUAAUAGAAAAAGUUUGGUUCAAAAUUAAGAACAUUCAAUUUUAACCGGAAAAACCGUGUGCUGAAAGGCAUUUUGAACCAAAAAAACACAGGAGUUUUGAGUCACCUAUUUUGACCUAUGGUUUUUCCAUUUGUGUGUGUGUAAACACCUCCCAACAUCAACAUCUUUAUGAAAUCAUGUUUCAACCUUCUAACAUAUUUGAAGGUGUGCUUGAACCAUUCCAAUCGAAAAAUAUAAAAACAAAAAUAAAAAAAGAAUUCGAACCUUCUUAUAUAUAUAUAUGUAGAGCUUCUCAGCUGGGGACGUCUGUAUUUAUUCUUACGCUGCAGAUUUCCACUUUACACUUCUUUUUUAAUCGAAUUUUCACAUCUCUACCGCCUAAUAUUUAGAUACAAUUUAAUAGAUCAUCUCUGUAAAAUUUUAAUCAAUUUUGUUAAAAUUAAGGCACUCCAAAAAGCAUUAUUCUGUUAUAAAUAUGAACGGUUAAAGUUACACAGAAUUAUGUAUAUCCCUAAACCCUAAACCUUAAACCUGAAUCACCCUAAACCCUAACCCUAAACCCUAAACCCUAAACCUAAAUAAUCCUAAACCCUAACCCUUGAAUUGCCCUAACCCUAAUUAACCCUAAACUCUAAAAUACCCUAAACCCUGAAUUACCCUAAACCCUAAUUUACCCUAACCCCUAAAUUACCCUAACCCUAAACCCGAAUCACCCUAAACCCUAAACCUGAAUAACCCUAAACCCUAACCGCUGAAUUGCCCUAACCCUAAUUAACCAUAAACUCUAAUAUACCCUAGACCCUGAAUUACCCAAAACCUUAAACCUAAUCACCCUAAGUCCUAACCCCAAACCCUAAAUCUGAAUAACCCCACACCCAAACCUCUAAAC
RNAcentral lists this long non-coding RNA (977 nucleotides) under Fragaria vesca (wild strawberry). RNAcentral's name for it is "long non-coding RNA (FVES_LNC004035)". The record is from RNAcentral. Lineage: Eukaryota; Viridiplantae; Streptophyta; Magnoliopsida; Rosales; Rosaceae.